Molecule: long non-coding RNA, 612 nt
Filed under: Rattus norvegicus (Norway rat)
Lineage: Eukaryota; Metazoa; Chordata; Mammalia; Rodentia; Muridae
Description: long non-coding RNA NONRATT007698
Source: RNAcentral
UUUUUUUUUUUACAAGUGUAAUAAGGUUUUAUUAAGUAAUUAAGGGGACACGCCACAAAGUAGAAGCAUGCAACCCAACAGAAAGGGAUCUGGGAUUUCGAGGGGCGGGGGUGGAUGCGCAAAUCAGUCACAAAACCGACCACUUCCUCACCCAAACGACAAUAAGGUCCUGUCAGAAACGGAGGUAGCAAGUCUGACAGGGCUGUUUGUUACUCCUGGGUUUUGUAGUGAUUUCCAUGGAGCUUUCAAUACCCAGCCAUACACUCAGGAUCGAGACUUCAUAGUGGAUGCCGCUAACCCCAACAAGAUGGCUACGACCGUGAAACCCUGGGCAGCGAUCCGGGUGCGCAUCAUUAGUUGGGAUCGGUGGCUCUGGCCGCGGUGGAAGCAGUAAAGGCCAUAGGUUAGGGCAGCCGCCGUACCCAGACAGCCUAUAGGCACCAUUGGGUUCUCACGGGUCUUGCGAAUAAACUUUUCCUUGAAGCCCUCUGGAUUGGUGUAGACCGUGGGGCUGAAGCCCUCGAUAACUGGGGCCUUGGACGGAUCAAAAGGCGCCUCUGGACUCACAGGACCGGGAGCCACCAUACCGACCCGCACAAAACAAGGUAGGAC